RNAcentral lists this long non-coding RNA (554 nucleotides) under Brassica napus (rape). RNAcentral's name for it is "long non-coding RNA (BNAP_LNC016457)". Lineage: Eukaryota; Viridiplantae; Streptophyta; Magnoliopsida; Brassicales; Brassicaceae. The record is from RNAcentral.
GAAUCCGAAAUGUGUUUGCAUUCAAAUUCGUCCACUACCACUGGACCACAAGGCCCGUUCAUGCGAAUAUUAAAGUUUGUUUACUGAUGCAUUAAACUUAAUAUUGUGUAUAUGCAAUGGAAUAAAGUUCAAAGAUUUUCUUGAUAUUUUAUGAUUUUAUAUGCAGUGACAGGACCAAAAAGCUGAAUUUUAUGUAUUUUAGUAUUGAAUUAGAUUAUUAUUAUUAUUGUAGUACAAAUGAAAUAUUUUGGACCGUCUGUGUCGGUUUCAAUAGAUCUUUUCCUCUCUAAUCCCAAAUCUUUGAUUUUUCUCUAAAUUAAGAAAAAGGUAUUGGCAGUUAGCUGCUACUCGUUUUCUUUCAACUGUUAUCUGAAGCCGCCCCGAUUAUUAUACCACUGUAUAUUAGUAUUUAAUAAGUAGUGAUCCUUGUUACAUAAAAAAAGUAGUGAUCCCAGUAUUAACAUCUUAGUUACACAAAAAAAAAUUCUAUAGAACAAUCCAAUGUUCGUGACGGUUUGGAUUUCAUAUUUGUGACAUGUUAUUUUAUAACCAUA